UUUUUAGUAUAAGUGUGUUUCAUGUAAUAUUUGGGACAUAGUUACACUAAAG
RNAcentral lists this microRNA precursor (52 nucleotides) under Camelus bactrianus (Bactrian camel). RNAcentral describes it as "mir-1302 microRNA precursor family". It matches the Rfam family "mir-1302 microRNA precursor family". The record is from Rfam by way of RNAcentral. RNAcentral also lists the same sequence under 2 other names. Lineage: Eukaryota; Metazoa; Chordata; Mammalia; Artiodactyla; Camelidae.